Molecule: long non-coding RNA, 1274 nt
Filed under: Gallus gallus (chicken)
Lineage: Eukaryota; Metazoa; Chordata; Aves; Galliformes; Phasianidae
Description: long non-coding RNA NONGGAT008247
Source: RNAcentral
CCUGCUCAGCACUGGAACUUCUGGAGAUGAUAAACACAAGCAACUCAUCCCCAGCUCCAUCCUGAGCACCUUCAGCAUUGCCACUCAGCACCUCAAAAUUGUGUGCGUCCAAUGCCAACUGUCCACCAUGGCAAAGGAACAAGACAUUUGCUCCAAGUUUCAGUGUUAAUAAAGAAGGUGAAUCUUUCACACCAGUGGUUGCAGAUGUCAUGCACUUGCCUCCUGCUAUUUGGAUCCACUGUGCUGCAGAGAGUGAACCAGGCAAACCCACCUGUAGAGGAGGGCAGGGAAAGUGAAAUCCCGAGCACCAAGCAGAGUCUUGCUGGAGACCACCGAGGAGACACAGCAUCAGCAAUUGCUGACAAAGCCCAUUGCACCAUCAGAACCAAGCCAAGGAUGAAAGAACGUGACACCAAUCUGUAUUUCCAGCAACCUUUGUUGGAAAGGUGGUCUGCACUCAUGAAUACUGUUGUUAUACCUACAGCCCCCAAAGAGCAACCUACUUGAGCUGUGACAGAGCUGCUCAUAUAACCAAGGGUAUAUGGUUAUGUAGCCUGUCUGGGGAUGUAAGCACAUUUACCUGUAGACUAAAGGAGAUGACCGAAUCCUUGUAAAUGAGCACAAAACAUCGCGAUGCCUAUGCCUUCAAACACCAAAGGAUGAGCAUGAACAGUGUCUCUAGAGCCACUCCAGACUCUAGACACUCAGCACUAGGUGUCCUGUGCUGAGAUACGACUACUGCUACUGACCACAGCUCACGUGCACGUGUCACAGGACCAGUCAAGGUCGUAAACUUAAGCAUAUUUAUAUCUCUUGGUAGGAACACAGCUGUAAUUAUAUUUUGGGUGUUUCUUGCCUUCUUCAAUUGCUGCCAGUGCUGCUUGUUUGCUACAGCGUAACCCGUGGCAUAUUUUAUAGGUUUUCAACCUUUGCACACAAUGGAUUAGAAAGAAAGUCAAUUAUGCAUAAGAUUGAAAGAGUUAUGUAAAUAUAAAACCAAUAUAAUGUAUUAUUUACAUACAGCCUGUACUUACCCUAAGUAACUUCUGCAGAAACCUGGGCUAUCACAAACAGCUCACACCUAAUUUCUGAGCCCUAUUCCAGAAAAGAGGGGAGGAUUCUGGCUACCUUAAAUCAGUGCUAAUAUUUUCUAGAUGAGAGCAUAUUUGUAUAAGAACAUAACUCAACAUAACACGGAUGGACAACAAGCAGGAUAAAUCUCUAUCAUUUAUUACAUUUGCUGAGCGAUCAAAGGUGUCUAACUAGACAUUUUU